UACAUCAAAAACCAUACUUUAUUUUAUGUAUAGCAAUACAAUUUACAUAUUAAAUAACACUAUAAUAGAAUGAUUUGAUAUAGUUUAACAUAACAAAAAAAAGAUUCUUCAAGUUACAAAAAACCCCCAAACAAAAACCAAACCAAAACGAACCAAAAAAUCUCCCUCAAAACACUCCCUCCCACCCUGUCCCCAAACCAAACACCACAUUUGCUUUUGUUUCUUCUGAAUGGAUCAAUGAGACAAACGUAUCCAGUGACUGGCUAAAGUCUAAUUCCUAUUGCACACACUGACAAUGGAAUCAAAAUAAAACUAAACCCCAACUUGUCACAAUCACUGCCCCAAAGAAAUGACGUGUGUGGAAACCUUGUUUGGAGUGUGCUGAUGGCGUCUCACUACCUGGGUACACAGAAGGUAUGUAUUCACAUAACCACCACAGAACUAGGGAGGAGGUGAAACUAGAAAAAAAUUAGCUUUAUAUGAAAAUAUAAAAUUCUAUGAUUAUAUACCAUAGAUACAAAGUUCCCAGAAGAUGCUUAUAUCCAAGCAACAAAAUAUUUACAGUUUUAAUGACUUUGCUCUUUUAAAAAUGGAGGAGAAAAGAAACGAGGAGUACACGUGAAUGCUUCGGUCUUUAGAAACAAUGGCUGCUCGCUAGUUUCAAAUGUCCUAAACACAACAUAAAGAGUCACUACCCCAAAUGUUGGAGAGUUGUGACGUUGUAUAAAAUUGACUCGUCUCCUCCUUUGGAGACGUUUUAUUCGUAAAACUCAAGACAUUUUUCUUGAAAUUAAUUAUCCUCUGUAGAAAACGCUUCCCUUUGCAAAGAGUUAACAAAAACACUAAAAACAGUUUAAACAGCUAAGACAAAGUAGAGGCCAAAUCUCUUCAUUACAGUUCCUUCUCUUUAUGUUUGCAUUCCUUCUCCUUUGAUAAGUAAAGCCAAUGUAGUUCACAUUGUUAGAAUGGCAACAAAGAGAAGAAGAGCAAAGGGGUAACAGUAAGGGUUGAAUUAUGUCUGUGGCAAAAAAGAAAAGGAAAAGAAGCAAAGCAAUGCAGUGGGUUAACAAAUAGGCAUUUUCCCUUCAUAUAAAAAUUCACUGGCACCGUUUGAACAUAAACUUCGGAACACAAGAUCUGAUGUCCAAGGACACGGAUUUGAGAAAGACUGCUAAAUCUUUUAAGACAACUACAUUGUAUUUCUUAAUUUUGAAAUUAAGUUGGUUUUGUUUUGCUGAGAAUUAGUAGUUACGUAUCUUUGGUAGAAUCAAUAUCUGUUUUUUAGCUUUUAAAAAAAUGUAUCAGCUUAGAAACAAAAAGAUUGAUAAGAAGGCAGUUGUGCUGUGUCAUAAAGAUUCUUCUCCUAAUGUUCUAAUGUACCACCCAGGGUUCAAGCAAUUCAAGCAGUCAGAAACUGAAAUUUUGCAGAUCCUGUAAAUGAUCCCACUAACCUAGAACAGACCCACAGCACAGAAACAGUCACACACAGAAUUAGCUUAAGGGUUUUGAAUUUUUCUUUUUCCUGUUCCUAAAUACGUAUUUGGAAACAGACACUGAAAUACUAAGGACAAACGCUGUUUGAAUGUUCUUUACACCUUGGCCCUGCAGAAGAAUCAGCUCUCCCAGACCUUCCUCCUACCCACACCCUGUGUCUGUAGGAUGGGGGCAUUCAGUUGAAACUGUCACCCAUUUUAGAUGCUCAGAUGACACAGCAGUUUUCCAAGCAUUCCCUCUUGGAAAGCUUGGCUGCUCUUACGGGCUCAAUGCACAGAAAUCUUCUGUCUUUCACAUGCUCUGCGGGCACAGUACACAUGCAAGACAUGGACAUAGAGUAUUUCUAAAUGUAGACACACAUAUGGAUGUGCACAUGAGUCCUUUAUGACCUUACUUCUCAGGGCUGGUGCUGAGGAACACAUUUUAUAGUGAUGGGAUAUACUCGGGUUCUCUUAAUUUUCAGGCCUGGGAAGUUGUGAUGCUUGAAAGCCACCCCGACAGAAUGCCAACAAAGUGAUUACAGAGGGGGUAAGAGUGGCUGGUGUGGCAAAAGCACAGCUGCAGAGUGGGACUUUGGCCACACACUCACGAGAGUAUCUCAGCAGAGCUCUGAAAGCACCUCUCUGAACACACAUUCAUGGAGUCAUGCACCUACUUCCAGUAGGAUAGAGUCAGCUCUUCCACUCUCUUAUCCUGACCUUCACAACCAAUUCCUAGCUUCAUCCACUUCAAGCCUAAUGUAUCACUAUCAUCUAUUGGCUUCCUGACUGUCAGCACAGCACUUAACACACAGCUUAAGCCCCCUUAAGAGAAAAAUCCAUGGAGAACUCAUAGAACAUUAUUUCCCCAUGGAUUAAACCCCAAGCAAGUAUUUGGGAUGUGGGAAAAUGCCAAUGCAAAUGCAUGGAUUUCCAAAGCAUCUACCAAAGUUCAACCCCCUCAGCCUUCUUUCAUUGAUUUUUGAAAGCUGUGAGAAGGUAAGGGAUUAAACCAAGGAUAUUCAGGCAGUGCAUCACGAACCACAGUUAUCUUCCAUCACACC
Molecule: long non-coding RNA, 2536 nt
Filed under: Strigops habroptila (Kakapo)
Lineage: Eukaryota; Metazoa; Chordata; Aves; Psittaciformes; Psittacidae
Description: lncRNA (ENSSHBG00005016038.1)
Source: RNAcentral